GCCAGUGGCGACAGCAAGUUGAAUGCACUAGGUUUCCAUAACUCGCUUAAGUUAAGCAACGUUCUGCAUGGUUUGUGUUUGGACGGGUGAUCAUCUGGACAAUCGCGUGCCUGCUGGCU
This 119-nucleotide ribosomal RNA is filed under the name Diaphorina citri (Asian citrus psyllid). The record is from RNAcentral. Lineage: Eukaryota; Metazoa; Arthropoda; Insecta; Hemiptera; Psyllidae.